This 28-nucleotide small RNA is filed under the name Bombyx mori (domestic silkworm). RNAcentral's name for it is "ovarian small RNA-24742". The record is from RNAcentral. Lineage: Eukaryota; Metazoa; Arthropoda; Insecta; Lepidoptera; Bombycidae.
UCAAGGAUAUGAUCGGCCGUAGGUGUUA